Molecule: ribosomal RNA, 554 nt
Filed under: Blastocystis sp.
Lineage: Eukaryota; Bigyra; Opalinata; Blastocystidae
Description: SSU rRNA
Rfam family: Eukaryotic small subunit ribosomal RNA
Source: RNAcentral
AAAUAAUUGCUCAUCGGAGACUGCGAAUGGCUCGUUAAAUCAGUUAUCGUUUAUUAGAAAAAAGGUACUACUUGGNAUACCCGUAGUAAUUGUAGGGCUACAACAUGAAUGAACCCUCCACUUUGAAGAGGGGGGGUAAUGAGCAUGAAAACCGUAUGCUUAUGCAGGAGAGGGAGUAAUAAAUACCUUUCGUAUCCCAUGCUUUCACAACCAUAGCUCUCUCAAGUUUCUGCCCUAUCAGCUUUCUCUGGCCACGGAUUGGACUACCANCGGCCGGUACACGGGGAACUAACAAUUUGGGUUCUAUUUCAGAGAGGGGACCAGAGAGAGCUCUACCAUCUCCCCGGAAGGGCGCGCGAGCGCAAAUUCCCCACUCCUGGCAGAGGGAGGCAUGGACAAUAAAUCACAACGCCGGACUCUUUAAUUUUGCAAUAGGAUUGCGAACAACGCACAAAAGUUAUCGAUAAACAAUUGGAGGGCAAGUCUGGUGCCAGCAUCAGCGGUAAUUCCAGCUCCAAUAGCGUAUAUUAACGUUGUUGCAGUUAAAAAGCUCA